CGCGCAGGCGGCGGUGUAAGCAUGGCGUGAAAGCCCCCGGCUCAACCGGGGAGGGUCGUCGUGGACUGCACCGCUUGAGGGCGAUAGGGGCUGGUGGAAUGCCUGGUGUAGUGGUGAAAUGCGUAGAGAUCAGGCGGAACACCCGUGGCGAAGGCGGCCAGCUGGGUCGUCCCUGACGCUGAGGCGCGAAGGCGUGGGGAGCGAACGG
RNAcentral lists this ribosomal RNA (208 nucleotides) under uncultured bacterium. Its description in RNAcentral is "partial 16S ribosomal RNA". It matches the Rfam family "Bacterial small subunit ribosomal RNA", at positions 568 to 775 of the family's 1533-position model. The record is from RNAcentral.